Molecule: long non-coding RNA, 4841 nt
Filed under: Triticum aestivum (bread wheat)
Lineage: Eukaryota; Viridiplantae; Streptophyta; Magnoliopsida; Poales; Poaceae
Description: long non-coding RNA (TAES_LNC006464)
Rfam family: Plant small nucleolar RNA R71 (bases 3317-3427)
Source: RNAcentral
CAAUUCCAAGAACUAGUCUGAUCUGAACAUUACAGCACACACACUGCUCAAUGUUUACAGAAAUUUAGAGAAUUAACCACAAUCACGAAUAUACAACACCACAGUUACUCGAAUUAACAACGAUCACAAAGAUAUGUAUGACUCAAAACAUAUAUAUGAUAGUACAAGUCUGACUCGAUAAUGAGCAGCUCAACCACUCACAAUUUCACAUACAUUGUAGUAACUAAAACAUAGAGGAGGCACGAAUCAUGUAUACCGAACAAUACGCAAAGUUUACAUUACAGUUUUCAUAUAUUACAAAGAGUGAGAGGGGGAAAGAAGCUCAGGUUUGUGAAACAGCAACAAUAGUAGUAGGCGGUUCAGACUUUAGAGAAGAACAAUAGUUAUGGUUCAGAGAAGGAGGGAAUUAAGGAGAAAGGAGCAGCAGCAGGAUUUGAGGAAGCAGCAUCAAAGAUGUGAGAGGAAUUGGGAGAAGGUGGAGCUGCAGUGAGGCAAAGGAAGAAGACAAGGGAAGCAGAGGAAGCAGCAGUAGAUGGAGAAGAGAAGAAGGAUCAGUGGCAAGGUUUGGGAAGGAGGAGCGGCAUCUGGGCGUUAAGGAGAGGGAGCAGCAGAUGUUGAUGGAGUGGCGCGGCGGCGGCAGAGAAUGAUGGACGAUGCUGCUAGCUGGCUGGGAGGAUGGCGCUUGUGGAGAUGGCGGAGAUGGUGGUGACUUGCGGCGCUGAUGGAUGGGAGGCGCACCACCACGCCGGCCUAGCCGCGGCGGUGGCCGGAGGUGGAGAAGGAGGCGGAGGAAGAUGGAGAUGUGAAGCCUGGCCCUAAGGGGAUCGGUGGCUAGCGCUAGGGAUUUGAUCCCACGAUUAGAUUUGCCACUUUUUUGAUUUAGCUCUCCUGCUCCCUUCUUUCUUCACAAGCACAUCCCUUCCCUUCUCUAGUUUGGCCCUCGGUUUCUUCUUCCUUCAUGCUCAGGUCCCCCUUCUUUCUUUCCUUCCUUGUCUUGUAUUCUUCGGCCUCUUAGUCAGAAUCUUGAGGUUUAUAGUGCCUUUGUGCACUUUUCUGCAGAAGAAACAAAUGACGAGUAAAUGAUCUUUUAUAUGAUUUUCAUCCAAAUAUAUCAGAGUUCAUAGUAAGAAUGGAUGAACAUAUAUCAAUAAAUGGUGUAUAUAUGUGCCAAAAUUAUGUAUAUGAAAUGUGCUUAUCAAGUUCCCCCACACUUAAAUCUUUGCUUGUCCUCAAGCAAAGGAAUAUGACAAGAGCAAGAUUGUGAACAGUGUGCUGACUAGAGAAUGCCAAGUGAAGUAGAUCUCCAAACAAAGCAUGAUUUGAACUUUGCUAGUGAGAAUCAAUGGUUAAGAGUGCUACAAAGCAGUAGGAUACUAGUAAGCAUGACCAUUUUAAACUUUUACAAUGAUAAAAGAGGAUCGACAAGUUUAAGUGAUGACUGUGCCAAAUGGUUUGAAAAGAGAGCAUGAUCCCGAAAACAAAAUGAACUGGAAUUAAAUCUUGUGAUCAAAUCACUUAUUUACAAAGAUAUAACAUUGUGGUUGAACCACUUAUUGAAUUUGAAAGAAACACACAUAUUAUUUUAUUAGUCUCACCGAAGGAACAUACCACCGAUCCCGAGAACAUGGUAUACACCUAGCUCAACCAAUUAUUAUUAAAAAAUUGUUUGUCUCCCCAAAGGAACAUACCAUCGAUCCAGAGAACAUGGUAUACACCAGGUUCGACAAUUACAUAUUUAUUUAUUAAUUACUGCCCAAGCUAACCUGAUUUCACAUGCCACAGAUCCAGGGAACAUGACAUGCUACUGUAGGUAGUCAGACUUAUUAUUCAUUAUAAGAUAUAAUUUUUUUGAACAAAAACAAGAAUCAUCACUCAACCAUGUCUGGUUCACAUGAUACCGAUCCAGGGAACAUAGCAUGCUACUGCAUAGUGGUAAAGUGAUUGCUCUGAAUGGGAACAAACUUGGCACAAAUACAUCAUCUAAACAUAGUGAUCUAGGUGUAUCAAGGUAAAUGCAGAAAAUGAUUAAGUUUACUAGUGCACUAGGGAUUUGAGCACUCAAAACUAAUAGUUCUCACUAAUUUCAUCAAAGCAAUCAUUGUAUAGAUCACUAGUUUACAAGGCAUUCAGAAAUCAGUUCACAUAUUCACAUCAAGCACCAUAUGUCAAAGGUAAAAUUCAGUGGGAUAACAUUAAGAAAUGGCUCAAGCAACCCAAAUAUCAAAUGAUUUCAACAUGUAUCAAUGGAUGAUAUAUUAAGAUUGGGAUCAUGAAACAGCUCACCGGGCUUUGAUGUGGCACUCGCUCGACACUCUCUAAACUGCAGCUCUUGUCUUUUUGCUUCUCUAUCCCCAUGCCUGCUCCAGCUUCACUCUUCUUCGCGUGUGCCCAUUGCGUCUCCUCAUCACCAUGCCGUGAAUGGUACACAAGCAUCAACCUGAAAGAACACUCAACAACCAAGCCAAUACAAGUGACAAAGAGAAUGCCCUCUAAGUCAUCGAUAGAGUACCCUAUCAUAUAAGUAUAUGUAUUGAGCAAAUCAGGAACAUGUAUCAACAACAAGUCACAUGGUGCAUAGGCAAUAUCAGCGAUAUGACAUGUCUUGUCUAGAAAGCCGAGAUCAUACCUGACAUAGUUAGGAAGAAGCUUUAGGACUACCUCAAUUGAAGAUACCAAGUGAGGUGUGGUAGUAGAAAUUUCAAUCGGACUCGUGUCAACAAGUGAAAUAGUAGAGCUUGGCUCCUUGACAUCUGAAUCCACGUCACCAUAAUCAACCAUGAAGCUCUCCAUAUCAGGCUCAAGUGUUGAGGAAUCCAUGCGGCUAACAUCAUCGAAGGCGAACUUCUCCAUAUCUGGCUCUAGCAGCACAUAAUCAAUAUCAUCUAAAGGUUUCUCCUCAAUAUCAAAAGCAACUAACUGCAGCUCUGGCUCAUUCAUGGAAGAAUCAUCACAAUGCAAAACUGAAUCUCCAACACUAGUAUCCAUAUGAUCUGUAGCGUGCGUGUCAACUAGAAUGGUAUCAUCAUCGUCAAAGAUAAUCCAUGCAAGCUCAAUCUUGUCACACUGAGAUAGAGGUUCAGGCUUUUGUGUAACAAUUGGUAGCUGAGGUGUAGUGAUUUGUCGCAAGCAAACCAAUGAAUCAGAGGGUGGCUUCUAAUUGUACCACUGAAGUUGGUGGAAAGCUAUGCUCUCAAUCAGCAGAAAAGCAUCAUCAAGUGUCUUGUUUGCAAUAGCUCCACCCGCUGCCAUAUCAACGUAAGCUCGAGUGUCCGAAGUCAAUCCUCUAUAGAAUAUCUGCAACUCUAACCAUCUCUCGAGCCCAUGUUUAGGACAUCUCCUGAAUAAGGCUUUGUAUCUCUCCCAAGCAUCAUACAAGCUCUCGCCUUCACGCUGAACGAAAUUGAAGAUCUCAUCUCGAAUUGCGGACUGUUUGUGUAGUGGGAAAUAUUUAUCCAAUAAAGCUCGUGACAUCUCAUUCCAACUGUAUGACCUUGAUGGCAAGGAUCGAUACCAAGCACGAGCAUCAUUGCGAAGAGAGAAUGUGAACAACCUGCACAUGAUUGCAUCUUGAGGAACUCCAUGGUACUUGACUGUAUCUGAAUACUCCAUGACUCGGUGUAAGUGCUCAUAGGGAUCCUCAGUAGACUGUCCUCCAAACUGUUGUUGUUGAACCAAAGCAAUAAGACCAGGCUUUAGCUCAAAAUUCUCUGCCUCGAUAGAUGGCCAAAUUGGUCCUGCGAGACAGCACUGGCUGCUUGGCAUCCAAAGAUCACGAAGCAUAGACAUCUCUCAACCAAGUGUAGUUGUCAAUCAAUCUGUAAAUAGUUCAGAUUUCCUACGCACAAUCAUAAACAGUAAACACUAGUUAGAAGGUUAGUAUCCUAAUAAGCCAAAGCAACAGCAAGGAAAAGAAAAUAAAAUAAAAGAAACAUAGAAAAUGAAAUACACGACGAAUUAAACACGUAACUAAAAUAAACCUAGUCUAUAGCCAACAUAAUCUCUCGAUGCUAGUCCCUGGCAACGGCGCCAAUAUAAUCAAUUAUAAGUAUAGUGGGGUUUUUACGCCCAAACUGCGAGUGUCGUGUUCUCCACAGGGACUAGGCGACAGCAACGAUGCUCGGCUAAAGCUAGGUGAAGAAUUCAGAUGAUGAUUGUGAGGAAAUAUAGACCUAAACUAACCAAAGUCGACGGCAAAGAAAAUGCAAAGAGCACAGUGAGAUUCAGAUUUUACUCAGUCUUUUUGGUAUUAUUUUUUUAUUUGAGAAAAUAGAAACUACAGGCAAACAUCCUAAACAAAGGGGAUUAACAAGACAAGAUCACAUUUAUGUAUACAAAACUAGCAAGUAUAAGAUACACGGAAGGAACAGAGUUAUAUGACAGGAGAUAGAUGACUCAUAUCUCAAACAUAUAUGUCACAGGGACAAAGCUAGCACUGAUCACACAUAACAUGCACUAUAUCUUACAAGUACGAUACUGAACAAAUAGCAAUUCCAAGAACUAGUCUGAUCUGAACAUUACAACACAUACACUGCUCAAUGUUUACAGAAAUUUAGAGAAUUAACCACAAUCAUGAAUAUGCAACACCACAGUUACUAGAAUUAACCACAAUCACAAAGAUACAUAUGACUCAAAACAUAUAUAUAUGACAGUACAAGUCUGACUCAACAAUGAGCAGCUCAACCACUCACAAUUUCACAUACACUGUAGUAACUAAAACAUAGAGGAGGCACGAAUCAUGUAUACCGGACAAUACGCAAAUGUUACAUAACAGUUUUCAGAAAUUACAAAGAGUGAGAGAGGGAGAGAAGCUUAGGUUUGUGAAAUAGCAACAAUAGCAGUAG